RNAcentral lists this ribosomal RNA (456 nucleotides) under uncultured bacterium. Its description in RNAcentral is "partial 16S ribosomal RNA". It matches the Rfam family "Bacterial small subunit ribosomal RNA", at positions 338 to 795 of the family's 1533-position model. The record is from RNAcentral.
CCUACGGGAGGCAGCAGUGGGGAAUAUUGCACAAUGGGGGGAACCCUGAUGCAGCGACGCCGCGUGGGUGAAGGAGCACCUCGGUGCGUAAAGCCCUAUCGGCAGGGAAGAAAAGCGAACAGGUUCGCCUGGACGGUACCUGACUAAGAAGCCCCGGCUAACUACGUGCCAGCAGCCGCGGUAAUACGUAGGGGGCAAGCGUUAUCCGGAUUCACUGGGUGUAAAGGGAGCGUAGACGGCGGCGCAAGGCUGGAGUGAAAGCGCGGGGCCCAACCCCGGGACUGCUCUGGAAACUGCGGCGCUGGAGUACGGGAGGGGCAGGCGGAAUUCCUGGUGUAGCGGUGAAAUGCGUAGAUAUCAGGAGGAACACCGGCGGCGAAGGCGGCCUGCUGGACCGUGACUGACGUUGAGGCUCGAGAGCGUGGGGAGCAAACAGGAUUAGAUACCCCGGUAGUC